This 465-nucleotide ribosomal RNA is filed under the name uncultured bacterium. RNAcentral describes it as "partial 16S ribosomal RNA". It matches the Rfam family "Bacterial small subunit ribosomal RNA", at positions 28 to 507 of the family's 1533-position model. The record is from RNAcentral.
GACGAACGCUGGCGGCGUGCUUAACACAUGCAAGUCGUACGGUAAGGCCCUUUCGGGGGUACACGAGUGGCGAACGGGUGAGUAACACGUGAGUAACCUGCCCACAACUUUGGGAUAACGCUAGGAAACUGGUGCUAAUACUGGCUAUGUGCUCCUGCUGCAUGGUGGGGGUUGGAAAGCUCCGGCGGGUGUGGAUGGACUCGCGGCCUAUCAGCUUGUUGGUGGGGUAGUGGCCUACCAAGGCGGCGACGGGUAGCCGGCCUGGGAGGGUGACCGGCCACAUUGGGACUGAGAUACGGCCCAGACUCCUACGGGAAGCAGCAGUGGGGAAUAUUGCACAAUGGGCGCAAGCCUGAUGCAGCAACGCCGCGUGCGGGAUGACGGCCUUCGGGUUGUAAACCGCUUUCAGCAGGGACGAAGCUUUUUGUGACGGUACCUGCAGAAGAAGCACCGGCUAACUACGUG